Musa acuminata AAA Group (dessert banana) is the source of this 2232-nucleotide long non-coding RNA. RefSeq lists it as uncharacterized. The record is from RefSeq and is a predicted model, not a curated record. Lineage: Eukaryota; Viridiplantae; Streptophyta; Magnoliopsida; Zingiberales; Musaceae. The transcript is spliced from 3 exons.
AUUAAUCUAUUAUUCCGUUUCCGAAGAGUCGAGGGUCUGUGGCAGCCGCUCUGUUCUUCAAAGGUCGGAGUCACCGAUCAUGCUUUGCUUGAUCUGCUGCUUCAGCUGCUUGCAGAGACAUGGGCUUUUCUUCGUUCAUUAUCUGGGGUUUUUUGGGAGGAAAGAUUGAUUGAAUUUUGCAAAGCAAGAGAGAACUCACUAAGAAUCCCAAAUACUCUCUAUUCUUUUCUUAUGCUGCUGAUAUUGUUGUAGUUUUUGGAUGAUAUGAAGUAUGCUGAUCAUGCCCAGGUACCAAUUUUGGUUUUCGUGGACGGUUCAGCUUAGGAUUUCAUUGCAGAACACAAUGAUUUCAAUUAAGCUACAUUGGCCCAACAUGGAUUUUCUGUGAGGUGGCAUGCUUCUUCUGAUUUCCUCUUGCUCUGCCUGAAAAGCAUUGGGCAUGUCAAGAUUGUUUCAGAUAUACUCCACAUUAAGUGAUCGGAUGAUGGGUUAAAUACGAUAUCUAUGAUUGUAAUGUUACCUUGGCUUUCUCAAAGAUGUCUGGGUUCUCCUGAAGAAAGACAGUAGCCCACAUGGUGAUGUGGCCAGAAGAUUCAUGGCCAGCAUUGAGGUACAUGAUCAGGAUAUCAAUUAUCUCCUCAUCGUUCAAUCUCCUACCGUUUUCAUCUUCGACAUCUAUUAGAUUAUCCAUCAUGUCCUUCUUUGCUGGAGAUAGAUUUCUUGCUUUCAAUGCUCUUCUUUCAUCAACCACACUUUGAAGAGUUGCAACCAAACUUUUUCGGGCCUGAAAUGCAAUAGAGACUCUUUGUAAUACACACCAAUGAGACAGGCCAUAAACAAAUCGCUCACGCUGCACUCAAAAUUUCUGUAGCAAAGUUGAUUACUCUGCAGUGUAGAAGCACUGCUUACCUUAAGGGCUCUGUGGAAGGCAAACCCUGGGAGAUUGAUAGCCAUGGCUCUCACUCCAUAGUUGAGAUCGGUGUACACCUUCUCCAGGGAUCGUAUGACAUCCUCGUUCCCGGAGCUCAGAAAGAUCUGCAUGAUGAUUCUGAAGGUGAGCCGUCUCAUCUCGGUGAGGAACUCGAUCUGGCCCAUCCCGGCCCACCUCUCGAGGGUGGCCACGACGGUGUGCUCGAUGAACUGGAGGUAGUCGUUGAGUGCCUCGUGCCCAUUGAUGGGAGCGGCGGUGAGCCGCCGCAGCCGCUUGUGCUCAUCGCGCACGAUGCCGACGAAGGACUUCUCCCCCAUGAGCAGCCGAGUCGACUUCGGCCAACCGGGGAUGAAGUGCUCGUCGUCCAUCAGCACGUGCCUGCAGCCUUCCGGCGUGUGGAUCAUGAUCGUGGGGCUGCCGAACAUGUACGUCUUGUACAUCCCCACGCCAUUAAAUCUGCCAUCAACGUUGGCCGAAGAAGAAGAAGAAUAAGCACCUAACGUAACCAUCAACAAAUAUAUAUAUAUAUAUAUAUAUAUAUAUAUAUAUAUAUAUAUAUAUAUAUAUAUAUAUAUAUAUAAUAUUCUCAUUCUCGGGGAAAGAGAAUGACUGACCGUCGGACGAAGGAGGCGAUGAAGGAAUCAGGUUGGCCGGACUUGAAGGCGCGGAGGAAGGCCCACAUGUUACCGAUGAUGGGCCAACCCAUGUCGCCCGGCGGCAGGUGGCGGCGCUUCUCCCCAAGGCCGACCUCCUGCACCCACUCGUGCAGCCGUCUCAAGCCGCCGCACACCGCCACCAGCCCCAUAGCUGCAGCCGUCACCGUCAGCACGACCCCCCACGCUGUCUCCAUCACCAGCAUCUCUUCCUCUCCGCCGUGCACUUCAGUCUUCCCUGUAUUACGGCACAGACAGCUCAUUCUACCGGCAUGAAUGGACACAAUACCAAGGAAUUAAGGCAGGAAGAUAGAGCAACAGAGAAGGUACAACUGGCAGCAAUGGAAACGAGAAGAAAAGAGACUGAAUUCAAGAGCAUUCCUCGAUUCCUUGUAGGAACAGUUUCACUGUUUCUUCUUCUCCGGCAAACGCCUACAUCGGAUGGUUCUUACUCUAUUUUCUUAUAAUACUCGAAAUUUAGCAGCUAAAAAGAAACAAAUGUAUAGUGCUUAGAAAGGUUGAAGAUUCCUGUCAAUCCUUCACCUCGUGAAUUUUCACUGUGUUAUCGGUUGGUAUCGGUUGUCACGUCGCUUAGAAAUCGAUGUUGCAUGGAUGAGCGAGACUGACAGUCUUGAUUGAUUCUUUGUC